GUCCUACGGGACGCAGCAGUGGGGAAUAUUGCACAAUGGGGGGAACCCUGAUGCAGCGACGCCGCGUGAGUGAAGAAGUAUUUCGGUAUGUAAAGCUCUAUCAGCAGGGAAGAAGAUGACGGUACCUGACUAAGAAGCCCCGGCUAACUACGUGCCAGCAGCCGCGGUAAUACGUAGGGGGCAAGCGUUAUCCGGAUUUACUGGGUGUAAAGGGAGCGUAGACGGCAGGGCAAGUCUGGAGGGAAAGCCCGGGGCCCAACCCCGGGACUGCUUUGGAAACUGC
This 283-nucleotide ribosomal RNA is filed under the name uncultured bacterium. Its description in RNAcentral is "partial 16S ribosomal RNA". It matches the Rfam family "Bacterial small subunit ribosomal RNA", at positions 335 to 636 of the family's 1533-position model. The record is from RNAcentral.